This 179-nucleotide unclassified non-coding RNA is filed under the name uncultured Simplicillium. Its description in RNAcentral is "sequence contains ITS2". The record is from RNAcentral. Lineage: Eukaryota; Fungi; Ascomycota; Sordariomycetes; Hypocreales; Cordycipitaceae.
CAACCCUCGAGCUCGUCUUCAUUGACGGGAUCGGUGUUGGGACCCGGCGAGCGGGGACUUUUGUCCUCUGCCGGCCCCGAAAUUCAGUGGCGGCCCGUUGCGGCGACCUCUGCGUAGUAACUCAACCUCGCACCGGUAACAGCAUCGUGGCCACGCCGUAAAACCCCCGACUUUUAUAA